This 253-nucleotide ribosomal RNA is filed under the name uncultured bacterium. RNAcentral describes it as "partial 16S ribosomal RNA". It matches the Rfam family "Bacterial small subunit ribosomal RNA", at positions 524 to 776 of the family's 1533-position model. The record is from RNAcentral.
UACGAAGGGGGCUAGCGUUGCUCGGAAUCACUGGGCGUAAAGGGUGCGUAGGCGGGGUUUUAAGUCAGAGGUGAAAUCCUGGAGCUCAACUCCAGAACUGCCUUUGAUACUGAAGAUCUUGAGUUCGGGAGAGGUGAGUGGAACUGCGAGUGUAGAGGUGAAAUUCGUAGAUAUUCGCAAGAACACCAGUGGCGAAGGCGGCUCACUGGCCCGAUACUGACGCUGAGGCACGAAAGCGUGGGGAGCAAACAGG